RNAcentral lists this unclassified non-coding RNA (556 nucleotides) under Hevea brasiliensis (rubber tree). Lineage: Eukaryota; Viridiplantae; Streptophyta; Magnoliopsida; Malpighiales; Euphorbiaceae. The record is from RNAcentral.
AUUUGAGUGGGCCUAGGGUUUUGCUGUGUGCAGAUGCUAUGAUUGAUCUAAUUUUGAAGUCUGAGGUGAAUCAGUACAUGGAGUUCAAGAGCAUAGAUGGGAGUUUUAUCAGUGAUGGAGAGGGCAAUUUGGAGAGUGUACCUGACUCGCGCAGCGCAAUAUUCAAGGAUCGGAAACUAAGCUUUACGGAGAAGAAUCAGCUGAUGAGAUUCUUCAAGCUGGUACAAGGGCAUCUUGAGGCUGCAACAGCUGCUGAUGGUGGGGAGAGUAGCGAAAGUAAGAGCAUCUCGGAGCAGGAUUUAGAGAGUCCGUUCGUGGAGUUUUUAAGCAAAAUGGGGCUCUCUGCAAAGCUAAAAUCGAUUGUUCUAUAUGCAAUAGCUAUGGCAGAGUAUGAUCAAGAGAAUGCAGAUGUUUGCAGAAGUGUUCUUAAGACCAAAGAUGGUAUUGAUCGAUUGGCCCUUUAUCACUCAUCUGUUGGCAGGUUUCCUAAUGCACCUGGUGCUAUGAUUUACCCCAUCUAUGGUCAAGGGGAACUUCCGCAAGCCUUUUGUCGUCG